Molecule: long non-coding RNA, 1505 nt
Filed under: Homo sapiens (human)
Lineage: Eukaryota; Metazoa; Chordata; Mammalia; Primates; Hominidae
Description: non-protein coding BISPR:2
Source: RNAcentral
CUGACCAGCAGCUCUUGCAUGAGGCACCUACAGGCAGAGGAUUAAUUAGGUUUUCAGUUUCAGUUUCCCAGAAAGGAGGUGGGCUUUUUUUUCACCCUGCUUUAAAAGCCCUUGGGCCCUUCCCAGCUGGGUGCCAGCCAACUGUGGCUGCCUGGGACACUCCAUCUUAAGUCCCUGUGCCUCUGCUGUGUGUUACUGAGUGCCUAGGCCGUGCCAGCCUGUAUUCAUCUGUACUAUGACCUGAAGAGGCAGAGGCCAUCACUGUUGGUCCGGUCUCCACCUGGGGAAACUGAGGUUGCACAGUGUCUCUGUGGUGACGAGCAGGGCUUCAUCCAGUGCCUCUGUCCCCACCGAGGGGACUAUGGGAGACAUGGAGGGUGUGUGAGCAACAGGUGAGACUGGAGCCAGCUGAAAACUGGGAGACCGACCCAGCCAACAAACAAUGUCGGUCUCUGUCUUGGCACCUGCAGGAAACAAGCUCCUACUUCCAGAAAAAGUGCUCCUGGGACUCCAGGAUACCAGGCAUCUGGGUAAGCUACAAUGCUUAACCACUUAACACAAUCAGGAAGCAACAGCCAUGCAUUCGGGAAAGGAACUUCAGUGUUGUGUGGCUCAGUCUCCAGACCUAACUUUCCCUUUGGUACAGACGCGGUGGUACAUGCCUGUAAUCCCAACACUUAGGCAGGAGGAUCACUCGAGCCCAGAAGAUCAAGACUAGUGUGAGCAACAAAAUCCUUCCCUGGCACCGGUUCCAGGAGGACCUCGUUCUUAGGCAGCAUCUGUGUCUCUGUUUUGUAAGACACACAGAGUAUCCUUAACCCACUGCAGAUAUUUCCCUGGGUCCAUGGUCAAUCAACACCACCUUUCAGUCUCCAGCCUCUUAACCAGCCCAGGGCUGAGUGUUGUUUAUAGUAUUAAUAUGUUUCUGGCUGGGCUCAGUGGCUCAUGCCUGUAAUCCCGGCACUAUGGGAGGCUGAGGCAGGCGGAUCACUUGAGGUCAGGAGUUCAAGACCAGCCUGGCCAACAUAGUAAAACCCCGUCUCUACUAAAAAUACAAAAAUGAGCCGGGUGUGGUGGCGUGUGUCUAUAAUCCCAGCUACUCGGGAGGCUGAGGCAGGAGAAUUGCUUGAACCUGGGAGGUGGAGGCUACAGUGAGCUGAGAUCAUGCCACUGCACUCCAGCCUGGGCAAGAAAGUGAGACUCCAUCUCAAAACAAAGAAACAAACAAAGUAUUAAUAUGUUCCCCUUGAUCAGUGGGGUGGUUCACCCUUGUAAUCCCAGCACUUUGGGAGGCAGAGGCUGGCGGAUCGCUUGAGUCCAGGAGUUCGAGACCAGCCUGGGUGAACUAGCAAAACCCUGCCUGUACUAAAAAUACAAAAAUUAACUGGGCUUGGUGGUGCGAGCCUGUAAUCCCAGUGGAGGCUGAGACAGGAGAAUCCUUUUGUAAUGCCUGACCUUGUUUUUUUACUAACCCUAUUUUAACCUUGUUUUUACUAACCCUAUUU